This 349-nucleotide long non-coding RNA is filed under the name Hordeum vulgare. Its description in RNAcentral is "long non-coding RNA (HVUL_LNC020358)". Lineage: Eukaryota; Viridiplantae; Streptophyta; Magnoliopsida; Poales; Poaceae. The record is from RNAcentral.
GUAAGCAAACUAUACACAUUUAAAUAUUAUAUUGAUGCAAAGUUGGAGGAGAGGGAAAAAAGAAGGUUGUAGAUUAAGAUCCAAUUACACCAAAAGCUCCAAGAUACUUUAUGAGAGAGUGAGAGGGGCCAGGUAUCAAUGAAGUGGAUUAUAUUUUCAACAAACUACUACACGUGAUGGCUAUGAGCUGUUCAUAGAUGAUAUGGCUACGUGACAUAGCCCACAACUUACUACUGUUACGGGAAAAACAUCUAGGCCAUCCCAAUGGUAGGUGGAAAUUAGUUAUUGCGAUGAUCCAGUAAUAGAACGUAUUAUUCUUCUGGUCUAAAGGAUUGGUUUCUAUCAUUUU